Molecule: non-coding RNA, 92 nt
Organism: Mycena epipterygia
Lineage: Eukaryota; Fungi; Basidiomycota; Agaricomycetes; Agaricales; Mycenaceae
Source: the annotation of a GenBank genome assembly
GCGCCGUUGGUGUAGUGGUAGCACACAACCUAAUUUUUCGGUGUCUGGUGAGGAUUUAGGUUGAGCCCUGGGUUCGACUCCCAGACAGCGCG